GCUGCGGUAAGUUUUAUUCGGUUAAAUAUCAAGUUUUAGAUUGAUGUUUGUUGGAUUGUGUGUCCACAGGUGUUUGUACUUUGUGUCAUAAUAAAAUGACGGUAAAAGGCUCCGCCCACCUUCUAUCCAUGUCUCACCAUGCAACGACUUUGUGAAUGGACUGGAGAAGUGUAGUGGCAGAGUCCUCCGUCAGGAAUAAGA
Oreochromis aureus is the source of this 201-nucleotide long non-coding RNA. RefSeq lists it as uncharacterized. The record is from RefSeq and is a predicted model, not a curated record. NCBI's taxonomy places the organism in Eukaryota, Metazoa, Chordata, Actinopteri, Cichliformes, Cichlidae. The transcript is spliced from 2 exons.